This 73-nucleotide transfer RNA is filed under the name Daphnia pulicaria. Its description in RNAcentral is "tRNA-Cys". It matches the Rfam family "tRNA". Rfam says of the family: Transfer RNA (tRNA) molecules are approximately 80 nucleotides in length. Lineage: Eukaryota; Metazoa; Arthropoda; Branchiopoda; Diplostraca; Daphniidae. The record is from RNAcentral.
UGGGGCAUAGCUCAGUGGUAGAGCAUUCGACUGCAGAUCGAAUUGUCCCCAGUUCAAACCUGGGUGCUCCCAA